RNAcentral lists this long non-coding RNA (1992 nucleotides) under Homo sapiens (human). RNAcentral describes it as "HSALNT0008860". The record is from RNAcentral. Lineage: Eukaryota; Metazoa; Chordata; Mammalia; Primates; Hominidae.
UUGCCUUCCCUCACCGGUGCGUUUUACCUCUCGAGGCACCGUAAGUUUGAAGUCCUCCAAACCAGGUGCGCUGCUCGAAAUUCUGCCCACUGGGAAGAUUUUCCUUCACUGCUGUUCUUCAGGGAUGUCCCAGAAAGGUGCUAUAGUGCUGCAGCUGUCCACUUUCGGGUGGUGCCUGCAUAUCAUGUUGCCUGGCCAGUACUGGCUGGGAACUAAAAGUGGCUCCCAUUGAUAUUUUAAAUAGUGUAUUCAUGAAAAGCCCACACAAGAGAAUGCUUUUUGGCAACAAUUUGAUUAAAAUGUCUUUCUAACAUAGUUAAGUAUUGAGUCGAUUCAAGAAAUGUAAGGGAAAAGUACCUAUAUUGGAUGCACUAUAUAACCAUUGCUACAAAAUUGUGCUUUCAUGGGUUAUCUCUUUUAGAAAUGAUGCCAAGAAAACAGAGCAAUCAGUGUGAAAAUUGGUAGUAAAGAUUGGGAAUUAUUGUUUUAACUGGAAAUAAACUGUUUUUUUGUUGUUGUUGUUUUUUGUUUUUCCAGAUAGCAUGGAUUAUGUGAUUGGUUAGUCUGGGAUUGCUUAGUUUUGUUUUGUUCUAAGCCACAGAUCCUACUCAUGCAUCUUCUGAGUUGCCUUGUCAUUGCACAUAAGGUCAAGUCCUUACAGCCCUUCCUUUUGUGCAGUGUCAGAAUUGAAUAUCUCCUUAGCUGUAACAUAGUCUAUAUACCCUGGGAAAUACUGCUUCCUAAAUGCCAUACAACCUUCAGAAAACUUCUUAGCUCUCAUUAGAUGAUGCAGAAUAAUAAGAAUUAUACCCAGACAUAUAUCCCUUGAUAUGCAUAUGGCCCCGCAGCCUUGUGGAAAAGAACUUGAGUUCACUCUCAGUUGCGUUCCCACAGAAGUUGAGAUGGCAGAGAAAAACAGUAGGGCGUCCUUAGUGAACACCGCAAUGAUUAUGACAGAGUAGGCCAGACUGACCAAGAGGGCCUAGAUAUAAGUAAACCAAAUUGGUAUGAAGCUGGCCUAAUCAUCCUUUGGACCCAACCCACUAUAGGGUUGUAGCAUGAUUUUUUUUUUAAUAAUGUUGCUCAUUCCCUAAUAGAACUAUAGAUUUAUUUGUUUAUUGCCUAUUUUGCCCUUAGGACAGGAACUUUUUUUUUUAUUAUUGCAUCUCUAAUAUUCAGCAAAACCUGGCAAAAGUAGACAUUCAAUUAAUAUCUGCUAAAUACAUUAUUUAAUUUUGUAAAUUUUAAUUUUUAAUAAGUAAAUCAAUUUUAAACAAUAUUCUAAUUUACCACUUUCUUUAUAAUUUCAACUUUUAUUUUAGUUUCAGAGGUACAUGUGCUGAUUUGUUACAUGAGUAUAUUGUGUGAUGCUAAAAUUUGGGGUAUGAAUGAUGUCAUUACCCAGUUAGUGAGCAUAGUACCUACUAGGUAGUUUUUUAGCUCUUGCCUCUCUCCCUCUCUCCCUACUCUGGUAGUCCCCAAUGUCUGUCAUUCCAUCUUUAUGUCCAUGUGUAUCCAAUGCUUAGCUUACACUUAUGAGUAAGAACAUGUGGUAUUUGGUUUUCUGUUCCUGCAUUAAUUUGCUUAGGAUAAUGGUCUGCAGCUGCAUUCAUGUUGCUGCAAAGGACAUGAUUUCAUUAUUUCCUAUACUACUGUGUAGUAUUCCAUGGUGUAUAUGCACCACAUGUUAUUUAUUCAAUCUACUGUUGAUGAGCACGUAGAUUGAUUCCAUGUCUUUGUUCUUAGGAAUAGUGCUGUAAUGAACAUAUGAGUAUGUGUGUCUUUUUGGUAGAAUGAUUUGUUUUCUUUUGAGUAUAUAUAUAUAUAUAUAUAGUAGUGGGAAUGCUGAGUCGAAUGACAGUUCUGUUUUAAGUUUUCUGAGAUAUCUCCAAACUGCUUUCUCCAGUGGCUGAGCUACUUUGCAUUCCCACUAACAAUGGAUAAGAAUUCCCUUUUCUUUUCAGCCUUGCCAGCAUCUGUUAUUUUUUGACU